UACGGAGGAGGCAAGCGUUAUCCGGAAUUAUUGGGCGUAAAGCGUCCGCAGGUGGCACCUCAAGUCUGCUGUCAAAGACCGGGGCUUAACCCCAGAAAGGCAGUGGAAACUGAAGUGCUAGAGUGCAGUAGGGGUAGAGGGAAUUCCCGGUGUAGCGGUGAAAUGCGUAGAUAUUCGGAAGAACACCGGUGGCGAAGGCGACCUUCUGGGCCGUUUCUGACGCUGAGGUACGAAAGCGUGGGGAGCAAACAGA
This 253-nucleotide ribosomal RNA is filed under the name uncultured bacterium. Its description in RNAcentral is "partial 16S ribosomal RNA". It matches the Rfam family "Bacterial small subunit ribosomal RNA", at positions 524 to 776 of the family's 1533-position model. The record is from RNAcentral.